Molecule: long non-coding RNA, 2734 nt
Organism: Girardinichthys multiradiatus
Lineage: Eukaryota; Metazoa; Chordata; Actinopteri; Cyprinodontiformes; Goodeidae
Exons: 4
Source: RefSeq, a predicted model, not a curated record
UUCAGCUUUUGCACAUAAUUUUUCCCAGAUUUCCAAAUGCAGAUGUUUUGGUUCAGAAGGACUCUCCCCUGAGAGGAACAGGAAUCACAGCAAUGCAACAUUGAAGUGACAAUUGCCAGCAAAAGGUUUGUUGAUCUAGAAGAACCUGGGUUAAGAUCCAGAAGGGAUUGGGCCUCAAUGAGAAUCCACUGGAUGCUUCAAAGCAGGAUGUUUGUCCCUCAAAGGUCUGUUACCUUCUCAAAGGGACAUGUUCUCACUCUUUAUUGUCCUUCAUUCAUUAUGUAGUGGAACUGCUGCCAGUUGUGUUUGGUCUCAGUUUAAAGGUUUCUGCUCUUCCUUUCUGUCAAUGAUGUAUGUGAUGCAUAUACACAGAAAAACAUAUGUAAUUAUUUAUAGAAUAUAUAACAAGUGGAUCACUAUUCUGUCCAGUCCUCUUUAAAUGUCCAAUUUUCACAGUCCACUUUAUGUAUUUUUGACAAAGCCAUUCUGUUUAACUCACUCAUCUGUGCACAGCAGUCGUGGUACAAGCGUGAGCUGCUAAACUAGUAUCUUAGCAACCAACAGGUCCUUUCCUGGAACCUACUGGUUACUUUACUGGAAUGAUGAUGCUGUUUACUGGAAUCUAAAGGGUACCGUGAAGGUAAGCUUCACCCUGAUUCUGAUGGUUCAAGGGUUGUUACUUUUUUCAGUACUUACAGGGCACUUUCAGGAACCUACAGUGUACUUCACCAGAACCUAUGGGGUAUUUUACUGGGACUUUUAGGGUACUUUCUGAAGGUUAAGGCAUACAUACAGGUUACUUUGUCCGUAUGUACAGGAUACUAAACUUAAAAUAUACAAAGCAUUACUGAAAGGUACAGAGUAGUUUUUGGAUCCUAUAGGGUCCUUAUAAAUUAUUAUACCACUACUUUGAGGCGACAUCAAACUGUCAGGAUUAUGGAUCAGUGGUUCUCAACCCUGGUCUCCAGGACCCACUGUCCUGCAUGUUUUAGGUGGUUCCCUCCUGCUAGACACCUGACUUAAAUAAAUGGGUGAUAAACAGGACUUGAUGGCAGCUGAGGAGGGGAUGCAUCGUUUGAAUCAAGUGUGUUAGGUCAGAGACACGUCUAAAACACGAAGAACUGUGGGCCCUGAGGACCAGGAUUGAGAACAACUGUUCUGGAUGCAAGUCAAGCAGAAGGAGCAGAGCUAAACAAAGUUUGAUGAGACUAAAACCAGUUGGUGUUGUUUCUCUUGCAGGUAAGAUUACAGUGGAUCCAAACGAGAACAGUGAGUCACCAUCAUUAAGAAGUUUUAGAGAAAAAGUUUUAAAUGCAGUUCUGGUUUAAAACAAAGUACCGUCAGAUUCCAAUGAAUCAUCUUGUCCCAUGAAUGACAUUCCUCCUCAGAUGGAUCGAUGACGGCCGUUAACACCUCCAAAAUGUUGCCAGAGAACGAUCUGAAGCUCAUGUCUAAUCCAGAAAAGACAUCAUUAGUGUUGGACAAACAUAUGUUUCAAAACUCAUCCCCUCAGCUGUGGAAGCGGUUGAUUUUUGUCUCUGGUAUAAAUAUAAAACAGAUUGUUGUGGACAUUUGAGGCUUCUUCUUCAUCCAGUGCUGAUUGCUACCAUCAUCUCCAAGCAAUCCCGGGCCAGAGGUGUCCAACUGAUGGCGUCCAACUGAUGGCGUGUCCUGUUGCUGUAGGGACUGUCAUGCGUUGAAAGGAACAGCCUUUAAUGGGGAGCACAUUGAUGAAGGAAGCACUCACCUGAUCCACCGCAUCAAGACCACGAGGAACUGGAAGCCAGACUGGUCGGAAAGGAAGCAGAUGGAAGGUGCAAACUAACUCCUUUACGGUGUUGAUUGACCUGUUCAAAAGUUCUGAUACUGCCAUUGUUUCUUCAUGUUUCUUCUUCCAAGCAGCCUCACUUUCUUUGAAACUCUACAUGAUUAGUUUUCCAGGUUUUCUUCAGUUCUAAAACUGUAAAAGUCUUCAAGCAUAUUAGUUUAUAGAUUUAGUAUGAUGGAAAAAAUGAUAAAGGUACAAAUUAGUGAGUGACUGGUAACUGAGCUUCAGCCCCUGGGACAAAGUAAGGCUCAGCACCAGAGAAGAUGCAGGAGAGGAGCACUAGCAGGCCCACCACCUGCUGGGAGAGAGCCCAAAGCCUCCUGAUUCCCAACGAUCCAGACUGAGGAACUGGUUGAGUGCUGAAAGAAAAAAUCUUAAGAAUCUCCUUAAUCCGGCCAGCAGAUCCAAUGCUGAGAAGGUCAAGUCUCAAAACAUUUGUUUUACACGUCUCAACGUUAUAUUUUGUGGACUUUGGCAACACUUUGGAAGGGGGGCGACUGCUGUGCCAGAGAGGAUGACCAGCGAGUGGGUUCCACAUUUCAGGGGUCAAACUCAUCAGCUUUCAAGAAAAAGUCUGCUUGAGGACGUUGGAACAGAGGUUCUGAUCGAUUACUCCUGUUGAAGCAUAGUGACUUUGGUCCAAGUCAUGUACCACAGGACCAAAUCUUUACCCUGGCAGAAUUGUGAAGGGGUCUUAGGAGUCAUUGGUAGUGUUCCACCGCUGAUAACCUGCAGAUGUCUCCUCUGCCUCAAGAACCAAUACAGCAUCUAAGAGCGCUGGUUGGGUACGUGUCAGAGCUAGAAAAGGUUCCUCUAGAUCGACCUGAAGACUUGGACAGUGAGACACGGACCAAGGACUUCUCUAAGAACGUUAUCGCCAGAGCGCAGUUCUUUGCAACAAAAGGC